AGGGGAGGGACAGAGCGGUAUGCGGGAUAGAGUUUGAUAGGGGUGGAUCCGGAGGUGCACGCGGCGCACCUUAUCACGCCACUCCGCCGUUUUAGUUUUUGCCCAGCCCCUGCAUAUUCCAACUUUCUUCCUCGUCCGUCCCCGUAUCGUUGAACACGGUGUUCACGUGCGCGCGGACACUUUACACGGAAGCGUAAACCCUUCCAUCGCGCCCAACGUAGCG
Apis dorsata (giant honeybee) is the source of this 223-nucleotide long non-coding RNA. RefSeq lists it as uncharacterized. The record is from RefSeq and is a predicted model, not a curated record. The transcript is spliced from 3 exons. Lineage: Eukaryota; Metazoa; Arthropoda; Insecta; Hymenoptera; Apidae.